UGGGUGAUCUGCCCUGCACUUCGGGAUAAGCCUGGGAAACUGGGUCUAAUACCGGAUAUGACUCCUCAUCGCAUGGUGGGGGGUGGAAAGCUUUAUUGUGGUUUUGGAUGGACUCGCGGCCUACCAGCUUGUUGGUGAGGUAAUGGCUCACCAAGGCGACGACGGGUAGCCGGCCUGAGAGGGUGACCGGCCACGCUGGGACUGAGACACGGCCCAGACUCCUACGGGAGCAG
Molecule: ribosomal RNA, 233 nt
Filed under: uncultured bacterium
Lineage: Bacteria
Description: partial 16S ribosomal RNA
Rfam family: Bacterial small subunit ribosomal RNA
Source: RNAcentral